Molecule: long non-coding RNA, 5740 nt
Organism: Tympanuchus pallidicinctus (lesser prairie-chicken)
Lineage: Eukaryota; Metazoa; Chordata; Aves; Galliformes; Phasianidae
Exons: 6
Source: RefSeq, a predicted model, not a curated record
CGGCGCCCGUCGGCAGAGUGUUCCCGGGCCCCGCCGCGCUGUUGUUAUUUAUUUAACCAACGGGGAGCAACGAAACUCAGCCGGAGGGGUCGGGACGGCGGGGCAGGAGCUGCAGCUAGGGCGGAGGAAGGGCUCGGGCCCGAUGUGGCGGCGGCAGCAGCGCCGGGCGGGUAGAGGCCUCUGGCCGAGGCCUGCGGAGCAGCAGCACCGCCGAACGAAUUAAGCGCCCCUGUACCACCCGAGUCCCGCGGGCUCCGGCGCAGCGCCCCGCGCAGCGCCUCCGUCUGCCCCGGAGGGACUCAGUGUGGGCCGUGGGAAAGAGAACGGGGGCUCCAUUCCGGCGGUGGCGUUGGUUCAGGGGCUCACGGAGCGGGUUCGGUGCUGCUCGACCGCAUCACGGCGUUACCGCUGUGAGUACGGGCAGAAAUGUGAAUCGGCCCCGAAACAAAGCGAGAUGAGCCCUGCGGCUUCCUCGCUCUGAAAGGAGAAGGGGAAGUGUGAGUGAUAGAGUAUUGGUCACGUUUAAAAUCAACGCUGUGCAACAAAACGUACAGCCGGUGCCUGUCGCUGCGUUCAACUACCCAAAGUUUAUGUUUGUCACGCUGGAGAAAUGGUUGAAAUGACACCCGCAGCCCUGCCCCAGCGUGUCCCGGGAAACCCAGUGCAGAUUCCAGUGCAACCACCACGGCUCUGUGCAUUUUCUGUAUGCGUUUGUGUGUAUGUGCGUGUGUGCGAGAGCGCGGCUGUGAGAAAGAGAGUAAAUCCCCACAACAAUUGCUGUGGAUGGGCAAUAAACAAUUGCAAUUGGGCAUGGCACGAACUAUGUGCGUUGGAUUAACCUCGCUUGACCUCACCACAAUUGUAUUUAUUUAUCCAAUUCCGUAACAGGUUGCUACUGACCGAAAAGAAGUAGAAGUCAAUGGAUCAACUGCCUUCGGUUUUUAUUUAUUUAAUUUUUUUUAGAAUUGCCGUUGUUAAAAAAGAAAAAUCAUGACAAUUUGUAUUUAUUUCAUUGCACAACACUGAAGCCAAUAGAUGGGAACUCCUGAGGAAGAGGGCAGUGUGGAGGAUGUGACUGAGCUCUGCAGUGCUAGGGGUAAGAGGAAAGGUAAGCUCUAUGCAUACUGUUAUGGUUCUGAUGGGCAUUAACCAAUAUAUGUCAGUGCGGUACAGCAAGAUCCCAUCGGGGUGGCUGGGCCCUGUGCGUUUUCCUACUCGGUCUAGCAUGUAAUGAUUCGGUGUAACCGGAUUCUUGAGAAAGGACAGGUUACGUAAACAUUUACUGCUGUGGAGUAACUAUACUAUUUGUACUCUGAUAUGCAGGAAGGAAAGUGUUGAUUAACACAGAAGAAAAAAAAAAAAAAAGCGAAAUUAGCUGAUUGCAUGCUCAUAAGUGCAAGCUGUCAUUGAACUGCUUUUAAAAUAGACACAGCUGGGUGUUUGUGUUGAAAAAUUUCUUGUGUUUUUGCUAAUACUGAAAUAAGCAUGAUUUUGUAUACCAAACAUUUUCAGAUCAUUAAAAUUUCUAAUCUGUGCUGGUUUUAAACACAAAGAAAAGAAACGGAUUCAUUUCGCAGUAAAAUUUGCUGAUAUUAUAUUAACUCAAUCAGGUCUGUACAAACGGGGUAUUGUGCCUUAUCAAAUCCCUUUGAUCCAUUUAAUACACCAAGUGCCAAACGUGUGUAUUGUUUGUUAACAUUGAGCGUUUUAUUCAAAUCCCAGCUCUGCAGCAAACCGGAGGAGCUCUCGUUUAAUGUAACACUGACAUCGCCUGCUGAAAUUUUAAUGCUCUGAGGUGUUCCUUAGGUCAAAGCUGAGUCUGCUUAGCUCUGCAGUCAGGGAUGAGAAUGUAGCAGAGAAAGAAAGAAAACCUUCGUCCUUUUGCAUUUCUGAGCAAAGGUCCCAUACGGACAGCAAUGUGUUUUUACAGCGUUUGGUGAUCUGGGCUUAAUAUUCAGUCAUAUAUCAUGGCAGCAGAAUAAAGUACUGUGCAGAAAUUUAGGAUUUAAUGAUGUAUUUUUUUUAGCGCCAUGGAUAUACAGUUCUACCAAAAAAGGUAAUGUUGUGUUCAAUAUGUAGUGCAUAUUGUUCCAAGUCCGUGAGAUUAAUUCACUGUUCAUAGGACAGAAAAGGAUAUGUAGGAAAAGCACGUCAAUUAUUUAAUUAUUUAAUUAUUUCUACUGGACUUUCGAAUCUGAUUUUUCUUUUUCCUUUAAAAAAAAAAAAAAAUCUGAAAAUUCUCUAUGUAUAAAAGCGGGACUAUUGGCUUUGGACAGACAAAGUUCUGCUCUAACACCAGUUCUUCUGCUAGCUCUGACCUGGCCGCAGCCCCCAGCCACUUCAGCGGUAGCUUUGUGUAUGGUGGCCCUGAAUAAAUGACUGGUUUGACCCUCUCAGCUCCAUCUGCACUCGAAUUCCUGUGAGAGGGUCCAGAAAUUUAGCACUUUCUAGCAUGAAAAUUUUGGUGGAAAAUUUUGGCGAAACAGCUUGAACAGAGAAGGGAAUGCACGGCCCCAGCCCUGCAGGGCACCGCCAGUGCGAGGAGAGGCAGCUCUCUGCUCCCCACCCUCAGGGACCCGUGGCACUAUGGGGCCGAGAGAGUCCCGCUCCGGGGUGAGGGUGAGGACCCCCGGCUCAAAUGCCAUCCAAAGGAUUGCCGUGCUGUUUGAAUACAGAUUCUGGAUACAAUUUUUACUGAUAAUGUUUCACCGUAGAUUCUUCCCUGAGUGUUUUUUAAAAAUUAAAGGCCGAAGGAAAAGUGUACCACUGUCAGCUCGAUGGAUGCAGAUAUGCUGUGACCCCCACCCCCACUCCCCGCGGCUCCAGCCUCCAGUCCCCCUUCACACGAAUACAGCGGCUCUGCACUCCCAGGCUCUUCCAAGGGGUUAAGCUGCUAAAAUGUCCUGACAGCUUAAGGAAUGAAUGAGGGUUUUUUCAGCCAUGAAGAGAGAGUAUUUAAUAACCACGCUUCGAUGGCAUCAUGUGUCCACGAAACGAAUCGGGACACCUUAGAUUAACAGCCUCUAAUAUCACGUUGGGUACAGUAAAUGCCUGGAUGUGCGCAUUUAUAACUCUAUCCCCCGGAUUCUAAGCUUGUCUUACUUAUUCCAGGUUACCUGGGCAAUUAAGGUAAGAGCUGCUCAGCAGACAGCGAUAUCCCGCUGCUCGGGCAGGGCGAAUGGGGUCGGAACGCAGCGCUAACAAAGGCGAGAGGUGGUCAUACAGAUUGAAGAGGGGUGAAUGGGCUGGAGGUGGAGGAAUGAAUGGAGGCAAAGAGAGAGAGGAAGAAGUAUUCAGCGGUCCACCCUUACAUCCUCGUUUGUAUAUUUAAGUUUAGGUGUCUGUCUCUAACCGACUUUCAGUUAAUCCCUAACAGCUGGUCGUGGUGCUAACGUUUAGUGAUUAGAAGGUACUCUAUUUAGCAUGCUGUAUCCUUCUUGCCUGGGUUUUGGUUACAGGUUAUACGAUUAGCAUUGCGAGAACAGUAGUGAACUAAACUUCCCAGUGAGAGGUCUUCACACCAGGGAAGUGUUACUUUGCGGCAGCAGCCCUGCCUCGUCAGUCAUUAGGAAGCUGCAGGUUGUCAGAGCCUUCUCUUGCGCGCACACACGCGCACACACACACGCGCACACACACAAAACCACAGCACUAAAACUAAAUUAAGAAGCCGAUGAUUAAGACAAGCGUCUACGAGGCCUGUCAUUUCAGCAUCCUUCCAUCAUAACAUUAUGGCACCGAGAAAUUUGCUUUAAAACCCUGGAAAAAAAUGUCUAUGGGAGAGCCUUGUAUUUGAGAUAGCAUAAACGUUAUCAUCGAGUGUAGGCUGGGAACUGCCGCGGAUACAAGAUGGUAUUCCACUGAGGACACGGGUGCUGCAGGGACCUCUGGGCUGUCCGCGCACUCGGUUCGCUCAGUGGCCCAAUCUUCCUGUUUUUGCUGGCCUCCUCACUCAAGUCUGCCUUGAGUUCUUCCCUCUGGUGAUUUUGCAAGAAAUGACACAGGCUCUCCUCCCUUCUCUCGUCCUGACUGAACAUUUUGCCUCUGCAUUAGUCAUCGUGGUAGAGUGCAGAGCAAGUCCAGGAGAGAGAGAAGCGGGUCAUGAGGCUUCUCAUGUCAGAAACCUCUUCUUCUUCAUGAGGAAUCUGUUGCCAGAAAACCUAAACCUCAUGAUUACAAAGGAUUUCUCAACCCUUGCCCAAGACUUGUUUGGACUUGUUCAUCUGUGUCCCCAGCAAGCUAUGAGACAAUGAUGUAAAAGAAUAAUCUCUAACACCACCCUGUGACUUAGAGGUUGCUUUAAAAUGGAACACAGAUGAUCCAUGAUGGCAAGAAUCAUGACACUCAAUUCAGAGUGCCAUUAAUGUAUAAAGAGAAAUGUAAGAAGAUAUUGGUUGGCUUUGAAUGGGGUGUAAAAUGCAUCAGUAUUUCUCUUCAAAUUUGCUCCUGUACAAAAUGCUUUUCAGCAUUUAAAUAAUUUUGUAAGUUAUAUGACUUAAUACUAUAUUUUAUGUUUUUACUUUUUAUUAUACUUAAAAUGCUUGCAAAGACAAAAGCAAAGAACCAUAACUUGUUAGGGCCACAAACAUAUAGAUGAUUGUUCUGUUGUUAGAUAAGUGGCAUAAUAUGAUGUCUUAAAGAUAGAAAUAUAGGUUCCUAUUGCUUAUGCCAAGUUGAGGCCAUACAAAUUCUUGGGAUUAGCAUUCAAAUACACAGUCUGGCAGAAUUAACCCGAGUUUAUGAGGAGUGGUUUAUUACAAGUGAUGCACUUUUCCCUCUUCCACAUACCACAGCUAUGUUCUGUGAGAGUGGAUGCCUUAUUUUACAGGAUAACUCCAGACUGUGAAAUUUUACUUUCCUGAACAAACAGUAAUUGUUGAGAAAAUGGUUCUCGCUAAUUUUGACUUUGUAAUAAUUUUCAAGUACUUUUUUCAGCAUAAAUGAUCCAGAUAGUUUUAUUUCAAUUAACUUUAAUGGGAGGUGAGAUUUGGCAGAUUGCAGCAAGUUUUAAUGUUUAAAUAUUUGCUUAAAAUGCAUGGUAGUUGUUCAUGUCUGUGUUGAUCUGGCAAUACAUCCUAAGAAUGUUCCUCUCAUUUUUUCACUAUGUAAUGUGAAACAAAAUUCCUGCAUAAUUUUAAAAAUGACAUAGCUGUAUUUCUCUGCUAGUGAUGCAUCUAUCUUUUCUCCAAAAUGGCUACCCACUCUUAUGAGUACUUGAAAAUAUUUUUGGUUUAAGGUUAUUAUUCAGUAUUUCUAGGUCAUACUUUCCUAUAAUGAAAAGGGAGCGGAGGAUAUCUUGAGGCUGUUUCCAGAAAAAAUUGCUUUCAAACAGUAUCUACCAAAUGUUGAACAUGUGUUCUAAAUGUAAUUAGUAAGAAGGAGAGUAGAAGGAAAGUGACAUUUUUCUUUGAGUGUGAAUUACUUAUAGACAUUCUGUUUUGGAAUCCCAGUGUCCUGUGAUCUUUCUUUCUUUCUUUUUCUUUUUUUUCAUUACCUUACAGCUAUUCAUUAGCUUAUGUGCCAAUAUUUGUUACAAUUUAGUCUGUGGGACAGUGGUUUGUUAAUAUUUUAGCAACAACACAGCAAUGUAAUUAUCUGUAAAUCUUUUAGCAUGUAUUUCAUUCUUGUGGAAGCUAUCCAAUCAGUCAAAGAAAAAAGCCUAAGCAUUUCAUAUCAAACUUUGAGCCUUCUGCAAUACACUCUUUUUUAUCUCAACUUUCUUGAUUUAUUAGGUAUAUUCUUU